RNAcentral lists this unclassified non-coding RNA (296 nucleotides) under Hevea brasiliensis (rubber tree). The record is from RNAcentral. Lineage: Eukaryota; Viridiplantae; Streptophyta; Magnoliopsida; Malpighiales; Euphorbiaceae.
GAAUGUUGCCAAUAGACAAAUACUGGAGCAGGAAAAGAUGCAGAACAAUGGUAUAAAUCUAAAUCUCAAAUAAAUACAACAGGGUCACAUAUGAAAGUCCACUAAAACUUGAAUACUCUAUUGAAAGUCAAAUAAAGACAAGUAGUUGGUAUAAUGCUGAAAACUAAAAUCUCGAAGUACCAUUUCCAUAACAAGAUAAGUGUUAAAAAAUAAAUGUGCAUCCAAUGAGGGGUGAGGGUGUAUGUCUAUCACCUCCUGUGUAUAACUCAAUGAACAACAACAACAACUAAGCCUUA